AUUGAACGCUGGCGGCAUGCUUUACACAUGCAAGUCGAACGGCAGCGCGGGCUUCGGCCUGGCGGCGAGUGGCGAACGGGUGAGUAAUACAUCGGAACGUGCCCAGUAGUGGGGGAUAGCUCGGCGAAAGCCGGAUUAAUACCGCAUACGACCUGAGGGUGAAAGCGGGGGAUCUUCGGACCUCGCGCUAUUGGAGCGGCCGAUGGCGGAUUAGCUAGUUGGUGGGGUAAAGGCCUACCAAGGCGACGAUCUGUCGCUGGUCUGAGAGGACGACCAGCCACACUGGGACUGAGACACGGCCCAGACUCCUACGGGAGGCAGCAGUGGGGAAUUUUGGACAAUGGGCGAAAGCCUGAUCCAGCAAUGCCGCGUGGGUGAAGAAGGCCUUCGGGUUGUAAAGCACUUUUGGCGGGAACGAAAAGGACUGUGCCAAUACCACGGUUCGAUGACGGUACCCGCAGAAUAAGCACCGGCUAACUACGUG
This 484-nucleotide ribosomal RNA is filed under the name uncultured bacterium. Its description in RNAcentral is "partial 16S ribosomal RNA". It matches the Rfam family "Bacterial small subunit ribosomal RNA", at positions 29 to 507 of the family's 1533-position model. The record is from RNAcentral.